This 460-nucleotide ribosomal RNA is filed under the name uncultured bacterium. RNAcentral describes it as "partial 16S ribosomal RNA". It matches the Rfam family "Bacterial small subunit ribosomal RNA", at positions 338 to 795 of the family's 1533-position model. The record is from RNAcentral.
CCUACGGGUGGCAGCAGUGAGGAAUAUUGGUCAAUGGACGAGAGUCUGAACCAGCCAAGUAGCGUGAAGGAUGACUGCCCUAUGGGUUGUAAACUUCUUUUAUAUGGGAAUAAAACGUUCCACGUGUGGGAUUUUGUAUGUACCAUAUGAAUAAGGAUCGGCUAACUCCGUGCCAGCAGCCGCGGUAAUACGGAGGAUCCGAGCGUUAUACGGAUUUAUUGGGUUUAAAGGGAGCGUAGGUGGAUUGUUAAGUCAGUUGUGAAAGUUUGGGGCUCAACCGUAAAAUUGCAGUUGAGACUGGCAGUCUUGAGUACAGUAGAGGUGGGCGGAAUUCGUGGUGUAGCGGUGAAAUGCUUAGAUAUCACGAAGAACUCCGAUUGCGAAGGCAGUUCACUGGACUGCAACUGACACUGAGGCUCGAAAGUGUGGGUAUCAAACAGGAUUAGAUACCCCUGUAGUC